This 849-nucleotide ribosomal RNA is filed under the name uncultured bacterium. Its description in RNAcentral is "bacterial SSU rRNA". It matches the Rfam family "Bacterial small subunit ribosomal RNA", at positions 32 to 916 of the family's 1533-position model. The record is from RNAcentral.
GGCCAUGGUGGUAUGCCGGAACAUGCAAGUCGAACGAAAGAUUUAUCUUUUACUGGGGCACGGUUGAGUAACCCGUAAGAGUCUGCCAUCUGGUAGAGAAUAACAACUGGAAACGGUUGCUAAUACUCUAUAUGCUGAGAAGUGAAAUAUUGUACGAUUAUUGUACUUUGCCUGAAGGGGAGCUUGCGUCUGAUUAGCCUGUUGGUAAGAUAAUAGCUUACCAAAGCUAUAAUCAGUAGCUGGUCUGAGAGGACAAACAGCCACACCGGAACUUAGAUACGGUCCGGACUCCUACGGGAGGCAGCAGUGAGGAAUUUUCCGCAAUGGGCGAAAGCCUGACGGAGCAAUACCGCGUGGAGGAUUAAAGCCCAUGGGUUGUAAACUCCUUUUCUUAGAGAAGAAGUUCUGACGGUAUCUAAAGAAUAAGCAUCGGCUAACUCCGUGCCAGCAGCCGCGGUAAUACGGGGGAUGCAAGCGUUAUCCGGAAUUAUUGGGUGUAAAGCGUCUGUAGGUUGCUUACUUAAGUCAGUUGUUAAAUCUUAGGACUCAAUCUUGAAACAGCAACUGAGACUAUUAAGCUAGAGUUGAGUAGAGGCAGAAGGAACUCCGAGUGUAGUGGUGAAAUGCGUAGAUAUUCGGAAGACACCGAAGGCGAAAGCAUUCUGCUGGGCUAGUACUGACACUGAGAGACGAAAGCGAGGGGAGAGAAUGGGAUUAGAUACCCCAGUAUUCCUCGCCGUAAACGAUGGAUAUUAGGUAUUAGGUAUUACAAUCUAGUAUCGAAGCUAACGCGUUAAAUAUCCCACCUGGGGAGUAUGCUCGCAAGAGUGAAACUCAAUGAGUUGACGG